Molecule: long non-coding RNA, 582 nt
Filed under: Triticum aestivum (bread wheat)
Lineage: Eukaryota; Viridiplantae; Streptophyta; Magnoliopsida; Poales; Poaceae
Description: long non-coding RNA (TAES_LNC008668)
Source: RNAcentral
UGCAGAAUACCAUGCAUGGAGGCGAUGUGGUGUUCUCGGCAACUUUGGCAGGACACGUGAAAUGAGCCUUGAUACACUGCCUUGCCGACUCUGCGAACUAGUUAGCAAGAGAGGUGGUAGAAGUGCAGACUCAUUUUGAUUGACUGGUUGGUACCCUACUUACAUCCUCCGCAUUCACUUUAUGUUGUUAGCACAUUCAUAGUAAACCUUUCUUUUGUUUAUACUAGGUGAUAACAUUGUGUCUUACAUAUACUUUGAUCCAAUGAGAACGGGAUGACUUGCAACAAAUGGUCUGCCUGAGUGAUGAGAUUAUAAAGAAGAUGAAGUGGUCAUAUUAUGGAAUGUCAAUAGCUGAUAUUCUUCUAAGACCACACCGGCUGCCUUUUUAUAUAUUAUUUUCUCAAUCUUGUUUUGUCUCGUUGACUGCAGUUAAGUGGUGAAACUGUUUUUUUGACGGAGGUUCAUGUUUGUAGGUGGUGAAACUCACAAAUACACUUCAUCUGUUAAUAUGAAUACAUUAUAGGGUCAUAUGACCGUUUCUUAUAAGGAGGCACUGACAAAUUAAAGACAUGUGUUGGGUUC